This is a long non-coding RNA of Carassius auratus (goldfish), 767 nucleotides long. RefSeq lists it as uncharacterized. The transcript has 6 exons. Lineage: Eukaryota; Metazoa; Chordata; Actinopteri; Cypriniformes; Cyprinidae. The record is from RefSeq and is a predicted model, not a curated record.
GGAAAUGUUUCCAGGGGGGGCCAUAAUCAGUGACGGACCCGCAUCCAUCCGGUUGUCUUCGCGCUUCUGAAUGUGCGCUUUUGUUGCUUAUGGCUACAAGACAUUGAAAUGUUCUGUCCGUUUUGUGCUGUGCAACUGGGGGAUGCUCCCAAGUUUUGCCCGUCGUGUGGUAUGAACGUGGGGUUCCUUACGGAGCGUCCAUCCACGUCAUCAAGCGUAGGCCAUGGGCCUACAGUGAAUGAGACAAGUAUCCAAGGAAGAGCAGCUCAAUUCAUGAGGUUCAGGGAAGUUAAAGAGGCUGAGAGGAGGACCUUUUCAAAGGCUAAAAAGAAACCAAACAUUACGGUCAAGAUAUCGAUUGGCAUAAUGACCAGAACAAAAUAUGGGUUAAAACCUAAGGGGGAAAACCUUGCCAUUAAAUGUUGAACCCCUGUGGUCAUCAAAACAAAUUUUGCCAGCUGCUAUAAAAAAACAGCGAGAUUUUAAUCAAGACACAAUGUACGAUGGAGAAUAUGUCCUGGUCUAUCCUGAUGGCUCUCAGGUACAAAAUAUACCAGGCACAGACAGACCCUUUGUCCUUGAACAUUAUAAAGAGGCCAUUGGAAAGACUUACCAGAGGAUCGUACUGUACAUCUGCCCCCUUCAGGAUUUGAGUCAUGGAGAUGACUCAUUUUCAGAAUCUGAUGAUGAAGCAUUUGCUAGGCUUCCACUGAAAAUUUUACCAAAACAAUGUCCACCAACAAUGUCCAGGCCAUCUGAUGGGCAAG